This 497-nucleotide ribosomal RNA is filed under the name uncultured bacterium. Its description in RNAcentral is "partial 16S ribosomal RNA". It matches the Rfam family "Bacterial small subunit ribosomal RNA", at positions 28 to 507 of the family's 1533-position model. The record is from RNAcentral.
GAUGAACGCUGGCGGCGUGCCUAAUACAUGCAAGUCGAGCGAACAGACGAGGUGCUUGCUCCUCUGAUGUUAGCGGCGGACGGGUGAGUAACACGUGGAUAACCUACCUAUAAGACUGGGAUAACUUCGGGAAACCGGAGCUAAUACCGGAUAAAAUGUUGAACCGCAUGGUUCAAGAUUGAAAGACGGUCUUGCUGUCACUUAUAGAUGGAUCCGCGCCGCAUUAGCUAGUUGGUAAGGUAACGGCUUACCAAGGCAACGAUGCGUAGCCGACCUGAGAGGGUGAUCGGCCACACUGGAACUGAGACACGGUCCAGACUCCUACGGGAGGCAGCAGUAGGGAAUCUUCCGCAAUGGGCGAAAGCCUGACGGAGCAACGCCGCGUGAGUGAAGAAGGUCUUCGGAUCGUAAAACUCUGUUAUUAGGGAAGAACAAAUGUGUAAGUAACUAUGCACGUCUUGACGGUACCUAAUCAGAAAGCCACGGCUAACUACGUG